CGGGGGGAGCAAGCGUUGUUCGGAUUUACUGGGCGUAAAGGGCGCGUAGGCGGCCACCGCAAGUCGACUGUGAAAUCUCCGGGCUUAACCCGGAACGGUCAGCCGAUACUGCGGGGCUAGAGUGCAGAAGGGGCAACUGGAAUUCUCGGUGUAGCGGUGAAAUGCGUAGAUAUCGAGAGGAACACCUGCGGCGAAGGCGGGUUGCUGGGCUGACACUGACGCUGAGGCGCGAAAGCUAGGGGAGCGAACGGGAUUAGAUACCCCGGUAGUCCUAGCCUUGAACGAUGAAUGCUUGGUGUCUGGGGUUUUAUAGUCCCCGGGUGCCGUCGCUAACGCUUUAAGCAUUCCGCCUGGGGAGUACGGUCGCAAGACUG
Molecule: ribosomal RNA, 374 nt
Filed under: uncultured organism
Description: bacterial SSU rRNA
Rfam family: Bacterial small subunit ribosomal RNA
Source: RNAcentral